This is an RNA transcript of Phoenix dactylifera (date palm), 1590 nucleotides long. RefSeq lists it as uncharacterized. NCBI's taxonomy places the organism in Eukaryota, Viridiplantae, Streptophyta, Magnoliopsida, Arecales, Arecaceae. The record is from RefSeq and is a predicted model, not a curated record.
AGAAGAAGCGCACAAUCUGCCAAUCUAGUGAAGAUGACAACGAAUCUUUCCCAAAGUGGACAGAGACCAUAGGUUCUAGUGGUCUAGCUUCCUCACGUCCAUCGCAUGAAUCCGGCCACCGCCUCGCCCUGAGCCCCAGCCGUGCUGAGCGGCGGUGGAUCGAUGGGUGCCGUCACCCGCCAUCCCAUCUCCUUGUCCGCCUCCCCUGCUCUCAACACCAUACGCCACCACCCGCGAGUCUUCCCCUAUUCGUCUUCCUCUUCUUCUUGGCUCCAGGUCGCGGGGAAUCAGUGGAUUCUUCUCUCAUCGGGGCGUCGGGCUGUUCGAUUUCGUCCUCCUCAGGCGGCGAUUUCGGCCCGAAGAGAAGAGGUAUUCGACCCUGAGCUGAGGUCAGUGCUUGAACUGGCUACCGAUGAUGAACUGUAUGAGCUGGAAAACAUUCUCUUUGGGCCAAGCUACUUCAGUCCUUUGCUUAAAUCAAUAACAAACAGACGGGAUGCUGAUUGUGUUAUGGAUGGAGAGGCUAUUGAGGAACGAGAAGAUUUUAUAGCACAUUUGGAGUCAAGGUUCUUGUACCUUGCAGCAGAUGCCCGUUCAACUCUGCGGGGUUGGAGACCAUCUUACAGAAAUGUCUUACUUGGUCUGAGAAGAAAACUGGGUAUUCCAUGUUCGAAAAAAUUGUCAACGGAAGACCUUGAAGUUGAAAUUUUUCUUCACAUGUUGAAUGAAUAUUCAAGCAAUGAGAUGGGCCCCAUUUCUUUUCCAUGGGAUGGCACCAGGCUUUCAAAUGGUCAUGGAAGUCUUGAAGUUGGACUCAGCCAGUGGAAGGUGCACACCUUUUCUGCAUUGAGAUUUGGGGCAAAACAACUCCAGCAAGUAUUUCUGAAGGGUGGUGGCAUGUUAACUGCGACAAAGAUUUAUGAAAUGGCAGCACAGAGACUAUCUGGAAAGAUGCUUUUGGAGGCUGCAAACUAUGAGAUAAAGCAUGAGAUUAUAAAACAGGGUGGACAAUUGGCAGCUGUCAGCCUGGAGUCCAGAGCAGCUGCUCUUGCUGCAAGACAGGGCUUGGCUCGUGCUGCAACACGAUAUCUUGGGCUUAAGAGUUUUAUGAUGCUACUUGGGCCACUGAUGUGGGGGACAUUUCUGGCAGAUAUUGUAAUUCAAAUGCUGGGCACUGAUUAUGCUCGGAUUCUGCGUGCAAUAUAUGCAUUUGCUCAGAUCCGCCUUACGCGAACACAUGGCUGGACAUCCAAACAAUGAUUAAUGAGUUCAUUUUUCCAUUUUGCAUAUCAACUUCAUCUCAGCCUGGCUUAAGUUAGCACAUAUUGGAUUAAUGGAAGUUGCUACUAUGCUAUUCAUAUUAUGGUUAUAGCUUCUUUGAUGUGCAAGCCAAGGGUUACAUAUUAGCCAACUUCUUUCAAAAUCAUGUUGUGUCUGAAAUCAAAAACAUUCGACAUAUCCCUUAGACAUAUGCCUUAGUAGCAAGUAACAAGGCAACUUGGAAUAAUGUAGUUCGGCUGGGGGAGAGAUUGAACAUCUCCCUGCUUGGAAAAAUUUUUGACUGGUGGAAUAACAAGGAUAAUUCUCUGA